CGGGAAGGCCUGUUUUAGAUACCCGUUUAAGUGAGGAAAUGUUUUAUUUAUAAAUACCUUUUUACUCUUUUUCUUUUAUUUUCCCCCUCGCCGUUUCUUUCUUCCCCGCACCCUCACUCGAGCCUCGCCCGCGCCUCUUCUGUUCCUCUCGCCGAACUCGGCACCGAGCCUUCUUCCCCGCCAAAUGCUGUGCCCUAACUGCCACUCGGCGGUUCCUUCUCCUCGUCGCGUGCCCUAGUCCUUACCCGUGCCUAUUUCAUUUCGGCGCCGAUCUUUUUCCUUCCCUAAGUCUUGACGCCGUGCCCUAGUUUUUCUGUGAGCUCUCGCCGGCUGAACCCUUCUUCCCUUCUGUUUUCUACCUCCGGCCGCCGAGCAAAGCUGUCUUCUAUGUGCCCUAGCCGCGAGCCACCCGAGCACCAUCGCACCUCUGUCCUAGGUGACGGCCAAAGGGGGAAAGGACCGUUCCCUAGAUCUAUUCCUCACUGCCGCACGAAACAGCGCCACCAGCCGGUCUCAUCGGGCCCUAGCAUUGUCGCCGGAUCCUUGAUCACCUCUGAUCAGUGGAGAGGAAGAAGCAGGGAGAUUGUACUAGGUGGGUAGUUCUUGGUCCGACCCAUCUUGAUCCAGCGUUAACAGUGGCUAGGUAGUGAGGUUAACCAGAGGUAUUUGGUUGGAACGACAGCAGGCGUCUUCGGCAGUGACUCAACAGCCGAAUAUGCAUAUUUGGGACUCUGAUUCGAGAUGAGCAUCUCAACGUCAGAUUUGGACUGGAUUGGACCUUCUAUUUGAGG
Zingiber officinale is the source of this 791-nucleotide long non-coding RNA. RefSeq lists it as uncharacterized. NCBI's taxonomy places the organism in Eukaryota, Viridiplantae, Streptophyta, Magnoliopsida, Zingiberales, Zingiberaceae. The transcript is spliced from 4 exons. The record is from RefSeq and is a predicted model, not a curated record.